Pelobates cultripes (western spadefoot toad) is the source of this 333-nucleotide non-coding RNA. Lineage: Eukaryota; Metazoa; Chordata; Amphibia; Anura; Pelobatidae. The record is from the annotation of a GenBank genome assembly.
GUCUAAAGUGGAGUUCCGCAAAGUACGAACAUCCUGUUAAAUGAUGUGUGGAUAGACCUUUUACUCUUGCUCCUGCCCCAAGAGUUGGCUAUCCCUCACACUUUGCACUAGUGAGAUCACCCUUCGCUCUACCCAUACUCACUACCCUGCUGCACAAUUUACACUUUGAAAUUCACAUUUUUUUGGAGGCUGUCAAAGUGAUUCCAAACUUUCCUUUGGCACAAUGUAUUAACCUCAAACCUUGGCCUUGUGGCAGGUGGAAGAUGCUGUUGUAUUUGUAUCUUUGGAAGCUGUCACAACACUAGCUUCAACACUAGUAGUUGGUCGACUAAU